GAGCGGCGUACGGGUGCGUAACACGUGUGCAACCUACCUUUAUCAGGGGAAUAGCCUUUCGAAAGGAAGAUUAAUACUCCAUAAUAUAUGAUCAGGCAUCUGAUUAUAUUGAAAACUCCGGUGGAUAGAGAUGGGCACGCGCAAGAUUAGAUAGUUGGUGAGGUAACGGCUCACCAAGUCAUUGAUCUUUAGGGGUCCUGAGAGGGAGAUCCCCCACACUGGUACUGAGACACGGACCAGACUCCUACGGGAGGCAGCAGUGAGGAAUAUUGGACAAUGGGUGAGAGCCUGAUCCAGCCAUCCCGCGUGAAGGAUGACGGUCCUACGGAUUGUAAACUUCUUUUGUAUAGGGAUAAACCCAGAUACGUGUAUCUGGCUGAAGGUACUAUACGAAUAAGCACCGGCUAACUCCGUGCCAGCAGCCGCGGUAAUACGGAGGGUGCAAGCGUUAUCCGGAUUUAUUGGGUUUAAAGGGUCCGCAGGCGGACCGAUAAGUCAGUGGUGAAAUCUCAUAGCUUAACUAUUGAAAUUAAUCUGAUACUGUUGAGCUAGAGUAUGUGAGAAGAAGGUAGAAUUCCAGGUGUACCGGUGAAA
This 594-nucleotide ribosomal RNA is filed under the name Adelie penguin guano bacterium 25a. RNAcentral's name for it is "bacterial SSU rRNA". It matches the Rfam family "Bacterial small subunit ribosomal RNA", at positions 93 to 686 of the family's 1533-position model. The record is from RNAcentral.